RNAcentral lists this ribosomal RNA (253 nucleotides) under uncultured bacterium. RNAcentral describes it as "partial 16S ribosomal RNA". It matches the Rfam family "Bacterial small subunit ribosomal RNA", at positions 524 to 776 of the family's 1533-position model. The record is from RNAcentral.
UACGUAGGGUGCAGGCGUUAAUCGGAAUUACUGGGCGUAAAGCGUGCGCAGGCGGUUUGCUAAGACAGGUGUGAAAUCCCCGGGCUUAUCCUGGGAACUGCGCUUGUUACUGGCAGGCUUGAGUGUGGCAGAGGGGGGUGGAAUUCCACGUGUAGCAGUGAAAUGCGUAGAGAUGUGGAGGAACACCGAUGGCGAAGGCAGCCCCCUGGGCUAACACUGACGCUCAUGCACGAAAGCGUGGGGAGCAAACAGG